Capra hircus (goat) is the source of this 495-nucleotide long non-coding RNA. RefSeq lists it as uncharacterized. NCBI's taxonomy places the organism in Eukaryota, Metazoa, Chordata, Mammalia, Artiodactyla, Bovidae. The transcript is spliced from 3 exons. The record is from RefSeq and is a predicted model, not a curated record.
UGGAGACCUGUGUGGGGCAAUCCCUGAGGAGAGAGAUAUCAUCUGUAUCUAAAGCCAAGUGGAGUCCAGUAUGUCUGAGCCACAUAGAAUGACGGGGAAACCUGUUCAGCCGUGUCAUCGCACGCCACUGUGCCUUUGAAGCUGGUCUCUGGACCAAGGGUCAGCAUUAUACACACGCACACACCCAGCGCCUCUGUGUCUACCCAGGUUCAUCGUUCUCACCUGACGAGACAGGAAACGCACGCCAGCCUGAAACUUGAGCUGGGCCUCUUCUCAAACAGAGGCUGUUUCUUCCUUGACGGACGCCCCUCCCUUCGGAUGGAAAGAGUCCUUCUGCCCCCUCACCCUGGGCAGUUCAAGGCUCAGCUGGUUGUAAGUCACAUAUUUUAAAUGUAUUUCAUCUUCCUUUCUCCUCACAUCUAAAAGCAAAUGGUCUAAACUUGCUCCCAGCCGUGCUGCCUCCAAAGACACAGUCCUCAUAAACUGGCCAAGAGG